UCUCUCACUCUCUCCCCGGAUCUUUGCUCCUGAUUCUCCUCUUUCCCCCCCUCUCUCCCAAUCUUCGUCCCAUUAAUUCCUCUGUACUUUUAGCAAGAAUCUCCUUAUCCAAAAUUCAUUUACCCCUAACGAGCGUAGAAAUUUCAAGGGCCUGAAAGAUUCGGUACUUUCAAAAAAAAGCCUCAACCGCUUUCUUCUAAUUGCGGUGCCUUCAGUGGAUUUCAGACCAGAACGCUCAGAUCAAGCUCUAGAAAUCGGGUACGUGACCUGAGGCUUUGAGCCCUAUACGCGGGUUUCCAGUUUCGACAAGUGGGGCCCACCAAUCGGGCAUGGUACUUGCAAGCAGCAAUUAAGGCAGAUUGAUUUGGAUAUGCAUAGAUUCAGCUACAUCUCAAGAAAAGGGUUCGAAGCAUUUCAAGACAGAUUGAAGCUCUGCGUCUUGGACAUUGGCUUGACCAUUCAGGUUUCUACUAUCAUGCUUUGUAUCAAGACCUGACCUUGAAUUAGGAGCACUUUGGACAAAUUCAUUCGCAGGCAAUGAAAGCUGCUGUGAAAAGAGGCAGGCUGAAGCAGCUUGGAUUAGAGAAAUAUCCCGAUAGGAUUCCAGUAAGAACUUUCUUGGUUUUUUAUUAUGCAGUUUACUUCUUUGAAUUACCAUUCCCCUUUUCUAUGAGAUUCUUAUCUAAGUCUUUGUGCAAUUUAGGUGAUUGUGGAAAGGGCUGAAAAGAGUGACAUACCAGACAUUGAUUAAAAGAAGUCGAUGGCUUUUCCUUACUAGUUCUUACUUUUUUGUCUUUAUUUCAAUAUGGUUGAGUAUGUUUCUUUUCAUUUUGUCUUUUCCUUACUAGUUUUUACUUUUUUGGCCUGAUUUCAAUAUGGUUGAGUCUGUUUCUUUUCAUUUCUUUAUCAGUUAAAUCUUUGUUUCCACUUUUUUUUCUUUUCUUUUCUUUCUUUUCUUUUCUGCCCUUAUUAUGAAAUUAAGGAACCUUAGUGUUUUAGCUGUGAGACUUCCUGCAAUGUGUUUUUUUACCUAAGAAAUGUUCUCUCUAUAAGAGAGAGACCUUCCUCGCAGGUGAUGCGAGUCCUUUGAGAGAGGGCCUUGACAUUCUUGCUUCGACGACAGUCGUUGAAGCCACAUGGCAAACAUCUUUCAUUAGGUAGACCAUGGCACCAAACCAUGGUCGUUGUGCUACAUUUUCAAGAAAAUCAGGAACUUAUAUCUUUAUUGAACAUUUUUGUUUUAUUAUGUAAGAAAAGGUUCUAAUGAUUUGGUGGUGGCCCCAGCGUCCACAGGCAUCAGCCAAUCAGCCCUUUGGACUUCUGUUCCCUAUGCUUUUCUUUAAUUUGGU
This is a long non-coding RNA of Magnolia sinica, 1349 nucleotides long. RefSeq lists it as uncharacterized. Lineage: Eukaryota; Viridiplantae; Streptophyta; Magnoliopsida; Magnoliales; Magnoliaceae. The record is from RefSeq and is a predicted model, not a curated record. The transcript has 6 exons.